CAUNGCUCCUUCAUCGUUUUGAUGCCUAGUUUUCAGAUAUACCUGCCAGCCUGAGUUUUUGAAGCAACAAGUUCCAUAAAGAUGAGUAAGAAGAAACCACAGGUGUUCCUUGAUGUUUCUAUUGAUGGUGACCCAGUUGAAAGAAUGGCUUUUGAGCUUUUCACCGAUGUUGCUCCAAAAACUGCAGAGAACUUUCGUGCACUGUGUACAGGGGAGAAAGGAGUCAGCUCUAAGACGGGAAGACCAUUGCAUUAUAAAGGAACCUUUUUCCAUCAUAUUGUCAAGGGAUCUGUGGCUCAGGCUGGUGACUUGCUGAGACAAGAUGGGAACUAUGGGGAAAGCAUCUAUGGGGGAAAGUUUCCAGGUUGGGGCUGACUUUGAUCUAAUUCUACGCUGCUUGGGAGCUUCAAUUCAUUGGUAUUGGACAUUGUUCCUCUCAGAUAAUGAACAAUCCCAGGGAAAUCUAUUAUAACUUUACUGCAGAACCGAGGUAAUUGGUUAUCAGAUCAGAACAGUAGCUGUAUGGUAGAAUUUUGUGAUUAGUCAUGAUUACCUAGAAAAACUGUCACGAGGG
This is an RNA transcript of Solanum stenotomum, 574 nucleotides long. It is a transcript of the gene named peptidyl-prolyl cis-trans isomerase CYP95-like, with no coding region annotated. The record is from RefSeq and is a predicted model, not a curated record. Lineage: Eukaryota; Viridiplantae; Streptophyta; Magnoliopsida; Solanales; Solanaceae. The transcript is spliced from 8 exons.